RNAcentral lists this ribosomal RNA (468 nucleotides) under uncultured bacterium. Its description in RNAcentral is "partial 16S ribosomal RNA". It matches the Rfam family "Bacterial small subunit ribosomal RNA", at positions 28 to 507 of the family's 1533-position model. The record is from RNAcentral.
GACGAACGCUGGCGGCGUGCUUAACACAUGCAAGUCGAACGGAAAGGCCCUGCUUUUGUGGGGUGCUCGAGUGGCGAACGGGUGAGUAACACGUGAGUAACCUGCCCUUGACUUUGGGAUAACGUCAGGAAACUGGGGCUAAUACCGGAUAGGAGCUCCUGCUGCAUGGUGGGGGUUGGAAAGUUUCGGCGGUUGGGGAUGGACUCGCGGCUUAUCAGCUUGUUGGUGGGGUAGUGGCUUACCAAGGCUUUGACGGGUAGCCGGCCUGAGAGGGUGACCGGCGACAUUGGGACUGAGAUACGGCCCAGACGCCUACGGGAGGCAGCAGUGGGAAAUAUUGCACAAUGGGCGGAAGCCUGAUGCAGCAACGCCGCGUGCGGGAUGACGGCCUUCGGGUUGUAAACCGCUUUCGCCUGUGACGAAGCGUGAGUGACGGUAAUGGGUAAAGAAGCACCGGCUAACUACGUG